CGGGGCUCCCGGAGCGCGCUCCACUGGGGGGCUGCGCGGGGCCGCCUGAGCUCCGGCGCCCCAGGCUGAGGAUGCCGUGGUGGAGGCAGGUACAAGGUCUCCUUGGCCAAAAAUCUUUGUGAAGACACUUGGAAGACUUCUCUUCAACACGUCUAAGGAUCCCUGUUUGCAUCACAGUUUGUGGUAGCGAGAAGCUGGAGGAAACCAUGGCUGAAGAAAGAGUAUUAUCUCCGGUUAGCUACUCAGAAUCUUUGUAUUCUAGGUUAGAUCAGAGCCCACUUUGAGCUCUCUGCUUCCCAGCUCCAAACACAAGCCCUCCUGAAGGAAGACGAAAUUGUGGAGAAUGGUGAACGGAGCAUGCCUUCUGUCUCCCUCCCAGGAGAUCUGCAUUGUAACCUUAUCACGCUGUGCCACCAGGCUGUUAUACAUCUAGCAUUAGCUUAUUUAGCCUUUUGGGAAUUGCUUUCCUGGAAUUAUUGUGCAGCUUUACCUUUAACUUCUAUGGAAAGUCACUUCAAAGACCUUUUGAAAUUUAUCAUUGCACUUGCCUCUGAGAACAUUGCCCUCCAUAGCACUUGGUGUCCCAUUAAUAAAGUCUCACUUGAGAUGAUUUUUCCGGGAAAAGCUUAUGCUUGUGCUAAGGAACUAGUAAGUUUCAUUCUUUCUAAUACUAGGAAUUCUGUAAUUGCUUGUUUCACAAUUUUUAGUAAGAAAGCUCAGAAUCAAAUUUCAACUUAACUACAAUAAUUAUUUUGACAUAUUUAGGUUGUGAUAUUGUAAUAGGCUGCUGGAACAGGAGGAUGUUUGAAAACUGAAGACAAUACAACUUAGUGAAAUCUUUCUUGAGCAUAACUUUUAUUUUGGA
Neofelis nebulosa (Clouded leopard) is the source of this 865-nucleotide long non-coding RNA. RefSeq lists it as uncharacterized. Lineage: Eukaryota; Metazoa; Chordata; Mammalia; Carnivora; Felidae. The record is from RefSeq and is a predicted model, not a curated record. The transcript is spliced from 3 exons.